AGUCGAGGGGCAGCAUGAUUGAAGCUUGCUUCAAUUGAUGGCGACCGGCGCACGGGUGAGUAACACGUAUCCAACCUGCCGAUAACUCGGGGAUAGCCUUUCGAAAGAAAGAUUAAUACCCGAUAGUAUAGUAUUUCCGCAUGGUUUCACUAUUAAAGAAUUUCGGUUAUCGAUGGGGAUGCGUUCCAUUAGAUAGUUGGCGGGGUAACGGCCCACCAAGUCAACGAUGGAUAGGGGUUCUGAGAGGAAGGUCCCCCACAUUGGAACUGAGACACGGUCCAAACUCCUACGGGAGGCAGCAGUGAGGAAUAUUGGCCAAUGGACGAGAGUCUGAACCAGCCAAGUAGCGUGAAGGAUGACUGCCCUAUGGGUUGUAAACUUCUUUUAUACGGGAAUAAAGUGGAGUAUGCAUACUCCUUUGUAUGUACC
RNAcentral lists this ribosomal RNA (429 nucleotides) under uncultured bacterium. RNAcentral describes it as "bacterial SSU rRNA". It matches the Rfam family "Bacterial small subunit ribosomal RNA", at positions 60 to 479 of the family's 1533-position model. The record is from RNAcentral.